UACGUAGGUGGCAAGCGUUAUCCGGAUUUACUGGGUGUAAAGGGCGUGUAGGCGGGACUGCAAGUCAGAUGUGAAAAUUAUGGGCUCAACCCAUAACCUGCAUUUGAAACUGUAGUUCUUGAGUGAUGGAGAGGCAGGCGGAAUUCCGUGUGUAGCGGUGAAAUGCGUAGAUAUACGGAGGAACACCAGUGGCGAAGGCGGCCUGCUGGACUGUAACUGACGCUGAUGCUCGAAAGUGUGGGUAUCAAACAGG
RNAcentral lists this ribosomal RNA (253 nucleotides) under uncultured bacterium. RNAcentral describes it as "partial 16S ribosomal RNA". It matches the Rfam family "Bacterial small subunit ribosomal RNA", at positions 524 to 776 of the family's 1533-position model. The record is from RNAcentral.